CAUUACAACGUAAAAACGUCCCCGUCAGGGAGUCGGUGGCCAGCGGGCGCCUGAGCGGCGUCGGGCCCGUGCCCGGCGGGCCAGUGAUUGUAGCUUCGCUAGGGGGGUGGACCCAAACGAAGGUUCAAAGACAACCGGGAGGACCCACGUCACACCUGCCAGCCGGUGCGGCACCCCGACGACGACUCUCGCGUGGUCGCGACCGUCCGGCUCUCUGCCACACACAAACCACUCUGCGUACCUUUCCACGUUGCUUCCCCGUCCCGUCCACGGAGCGGGGGAGGUCCAACCCACGAAACCCUUGAUCUAGAACCGUCCGUCAGAAGUAAAAGCUGUUUUACAAAAACUUUCAACAACGGAUCUCUUGGUUCCCACAUCGAUGAAGAACGCAGCGAAAUGCGAUAAGUAAUGUGAAUUGCAGAAUCCAGUGAAUCAUCGAAUCUUUGAACGCACAUUGCGCCCUCUGGCAUUCCGGGGGGCAUGCCUGUCCGAGUGUCAUCAAACACCCUCCCCCGAGACCUUCUCAUAGCGCGUUGGCAAGGGGGGUAUUGGCCGUCCGGCUUUCCGCGGGUCCGCUUCGGCGGCCCGACCGGGCCCGGCUCAAAUUCCAGGUCUGUAGGCAGGAGUGUGCUGUCGGUCGACGUAAUGGUAACGCGUAACGCCUUCCCAGCCCCAGAGUCCUUCAGAACCACAAACGGCGUGCCUCGCGCGGCGACGCCACACCAGCAGUUUGACCUCGGAUCAGGUAGGGAUACCCGCUGAACUUAAGCAUAUCAAUAGUCCUCGACGUCCGCGUUGUAAUUUGGAGAGGCACCUUCGUUUGGGCGCCGGCUUAUGUUCCUUGGAACAGGACGUCACAGAGGGUGAGAAUCCCGUGCCGUCGGCUGUCCCAUUCCACGUGAAGUGUCUUCGACGAGUCGAGUUGUUUGGGAAUGCAGCUCAAAAUGGGUGGUAAAUUUCAUCUAAAGCUAAAUAUUGGUGGGAGACCGAUAGCGCACAAGUAGAGUGAUCGAAAGAUGAAAAGCACUUUGAAAAUAGAGUUAAAAAGCACGUGAAAUUGUUGAAAGGGAAGCGCUUGAGACCAGACUCGGCUUCGGACGAUCAGCCUCCCUUCUGGGCGGUGCACUCGUCUUUGGUCGGGCCAGCAUCGGUUGAGACGGCGGGACAAGGGCUUCGGGAAUGUGGCUCCUCUCGGGGAGUGUUAUAGCCCGUGGUGCAAUGCCGCCCGCCUCGACCGAGGACCGCGCUUCGGCUAGGAUGCUGGCGUAAUGGUCUUCAGCGACCCGUCUUGAAACACGGACCAAGGAGUCUAACAUCUAUGCGAGUGUUUGGGUGUCAAACCCUUGCGCGGAAUGAAAGUGAACGGGGGUGGGAACCCGCAAGGGCGCACCAUCGACCGGUCCUGAUGUCUUCGGAUGGAUCUGAGUAGGAGCAUAGCUGUUGGGACCCGAAAGAUGGUGAACUAUGCCUGAAUAGGGUGAAGCCAGAGGAAACUCUGGUGGAGGCUCGCAGCGGUUCUGACGUGCAAAUCGAUCGUCGAAUUUGGGUAUAGGGGCGAAAGACUAAUCGAACCAUCUAGUAGCUGGUUCCUGCCGAAGU
Molecule: ribosomal RNA, 1599 nt
Filed under: Leucangium carthusianum
Lineage: Eukaryota; Fungi; Ascomycota; Pezizomycetes; Pezizales; Morchellaceae
Description: eukaryotic LSU rRNA
Rfam family: Eukaryotic large subunit ribosomal RNA (bases 732-1599)
Source: RNAcentral